CGACCGCUGGCGGCGUGCUUACCACAUGCAAGUCGCACGGCAAAGCCCUGCUUUUGUGGGGUGCUCGAGUGGCGAACGGGUGAGUAACACGUGAGUAACCUGCCCUUGACUUUGGGAUAACUUCAGGAAACUGGGGCUAAUACCGGAUAGGAGCUCCUGCUGCAUGGUGGGGGUUGGAAAGUUUCGGCGGUUGGGGAUGGACUCGCGGCUUAUCAGCUUGUUGGUGGGGUAGUGGCUUACCAAGGCUUUGACGGGUAGCCGGCCUGAGAGGGUGACCGGCCACAUUGGGACUGAGAUACGGCCCAGACUCCUACGGGAGGCAGCAGUGGGGAAUAUUGCACAAUGGGCGGAAGCCUGAUGCAGCAACGCCGCGUGCGGGAUGACGGCCUUCGGGUUGUAAACCGCUUUCGCCUGUGACGAAGCGUGAGUGACGGUAAUGGGUAAAGAAGCACCGGCUAACUACGUG
RNAcentral lists this ribosomal RNA (466 nucleotides) under uncultured bacterium. Its description in RNAcentral is "partial 16S ribosomal RNA". It matches the Rfam family "Bacterial small subunit ribosomal RNA", at positions 30 to 507 of the family's 1533-position model. The record is from RNAcentral.